RNAcentral lists this long non-coding RNA (1957 nucleotides) under Naja naja (Indian cobra). RNAcentral's name for it is "lncRNA (ENSNNAG00000009960.1)". The record is from RNAcentral. Lineage: Eukaryota; Metazoa; Chordata; Lepidosauria; Squamata; Elapidae.
AAAAAGAGCUGGUGAAAUGAUAACACAAGGGAGCACUCAGCCUACAAGAGGACAUUAACACUUCAGGAGAAUUGACAUCUUCUAUAAGUGUAGCCAACCCAAAGAAAAUGAAAACAUUUAACUUUCUAGACCGAGCCAUGUGUGCCCAGUACUCAUCUUAGCUCCUUCUCUUAAAAUGUCCUCACAUGAAAUCAAUAAAACAGAUUGUGAUGUUAUUUCACGGAAAUAAAAUGUGAUCCCAGCCUCCCAAUAAUCUGAUUUCCCUGUCCCGUUCUUCAACUUCAGAAUGGUCUGUAUUUUUUCAGUCGAGUCCAUAUGGGUUUUUUUUCCUUGUGUUCAAAGUAGGCAAGAUUUAGAUCACUUUGUGGUAAAGCAAGCUGCUUUUGAUUUGCUUUCUUAAUAAGACUCGAACAUACCAGAAGAGUUUUCGGAUAUUGGAGACAUAACUUGCUCUCGGCUGAAGAGUUAGGGACUUCUGCCAACACUUAAGCUUUGCAGAUAAAUCACAUGUGGCAGCUUAUGUAAUAGGCUUGGGCUUUAUAUACUGUAUCUGUAGGACGGUGGCAUGUAAAAAUCUUAAUGGGAACAACAUGCUUCAACCUGAACAAAUUUCACAUUGGCCCAGGACUGUACUUUUAUAGAACAGUCUAAGCAAAGUGAGUUCAGCUAGCUAAUCAUAUAAGCCUCUAUGGCAAGUUUUUGUUUUCAUUAAGUUGUGGCUGUCUACCAGUUCAUCUUUUUUUUAAAGGAAAUUGGAAAUCGAAAGUCUCAGAAAAACUUGGAUAAAAAUGGUUAUCUACCUGAAAAUCACACCAGGUUAUAUACGAUUAUUGCAGACCCAAGCAGCUGGGAAGUUAGCCAUCAACCCCGUGGAUACACUGAUACAUCAGGCGGCUCUGUUCUUGGGUUUGUUCGGGACCAGCAUCUCUACUUACAGCUUAGUUCAGCUGGCUCAAAAGAAGAGGAAACCUGCGGAUUUUUAAUCAGACUUUGGAUCUCAAGCCAACGGACUAAGCUUGAGGAGCACCCAUUGAUUUUCACUGUCACUUUCAGAGGCAACUCCACUGGCUGAAAAGAGAGCGUCAUCCAUUGCUGUGAAUACAAAUCCUCUCAAUUCGUAUUCCACAGUAUUUCUUGAAAGGUGGAAGAAGAACCUCAAUUAUUUCCCCCACUCAGGAAAACAAACUAACACAAGAAGAAGAGUUAGAAGAAGGAAGGAGGCAGGCAUUCCAUUUUAUGGCAAGAUGGACUUCCCGGGACAAGCAAUGGCUUUGUUUUUGCUGAGCUUAAUACACACAGAAAGGUCUCUGUAUAUACAGAGAUCAGUUAAAAUCUGAGCUAGAGCAGACAGACAGAUUGUAGCAGACAAGUAGAACUGCUCUGUUACUAUUCUACCAAAUCAUUUUGGGUAGAAAGAUUAACAGGACAAAAGGGGAGCAACUGAAAGUCUGAAGACAAAUAAGAAUGUCUUUCCCCUUCCCUUCACACAUGAACUCAUGAUUUGGCACUGCCAUCUCAGUUGCAUGCCUGGACCUCAGAUGCCAGAGGGAAGUAAAAUGGGCGGAUGCGUGUGUAACACUCUGCACAAAAGAUAAGCCUUAUAUUAACGGGCAGUUGUAGCAAACGGAUGGUUGGCUCUGUGCUUUGAUGGGCAUGUAUGUCAAUUACUGCUCAGUGCUUUUGACACCCUCUCUGUUGUGUAGUCAAAUAGAUAAUAGUUCUCAGACACAAACUCUAGUGCUGCAUCAUUUUGUGACCGCCAAAAUCAUAGGGUUGACCAAGCCUUAGAAGUCAUCUAGUCCAUUGGGGAAAAUGGUAUGACUGGAUCGAACAAAGAUAGUUAAAAGGUUGAUGAAUUAAGGUUAAACAAUAUAUAAGUUAAAUGUUUAUAAUUGCAUAAAUUGAAUAUAUUUGUAAACAACGCACAAAAUAGCAGUAUAAGAAAAUUGCCACAGCU